Long non-coding RNA from Crotalus tigris (Tiger rattlesnake), 562 nucleotides. RefSeq lists it as uncharacterized. The transcript has 2 exons. NCBI's taxonomy places the organism in Eukaryota, Metazoa, Chordata, Lepidosauria, Squamata, Viperidae. The record is from RefSeq and is a predicted model, not a curated record.
UGUACAGUAAGCUGAUCUCUCCGGCUUGCUUUAAAAUAAUAAUAAUAAAUAAACCCUGAACAGGGCGAAUUAUGUCUUGCAAAAUCUCUCAGCCUCUUUGGAAGGACCCUGGAGCCACGGCCAGCAUAGACACACCAAAGUGUGGAAGUUUUGUUUUCAGAUCCCGUCUGCGGAUUUACGCCACGAAUCUGAGGUCGCCGUUCCUCUUUCAACAGCUGCAGAGAUUGUUUUGGCGUCCUCCCCGGCCAUCCAGCAAUUCCCACCAUUUCCCAGAACUAAGGCGAGCCCGGCGGUCCCUUGGAAGCAAGGAAAACAAACGCCCCUUGAAAUGCAGAGCUGUUGGGUCUCGCCUGGGCAUCCCGGCCUCCCUCUCAACUUUCUACUGUGUUGCGCUUCUCAAUGACAUCGAUUCAGUGGCUGCCGGUGGAGUGUGACCGUUGUGCAUCUGGACGAGUGGUUAAAGCAACAGCUGGUGGACCGGGUGACCUGAACCACUAGAGUAAAUAUAAGGGGUUCUAUGUGCUGGGAAGCCUGAUUAAAUAAACCCAGACAUUUCAGAAAA